This 301-nucleotide ribosomal RNA is filed under the name uncultured bacterium. RNAcentral describes it as "partial 16S ribosomal RNA". It matches the Rfam family "Bacterial small subunit ribosomal RNA", at positions 509 to 807 of the family's 1533-position model. The record is from RNAcentral.
CAGUAGCCGCGGUAAUACGGAGGGUGCAAGCGUUAAUCGGAAUUACUGGGCGUAAAGCGCACGCAGGCGGUCUGACAAGUCAGAUGUGAAAUCCCCGGGCUUAACCUGGGAACUGCAUUUGAAACUGUCAGGCUGGAGUAUUGUAGAGGGGGGUGGAAUUCCAGGUGUAGCGGUGAAAUGCGUAGAGAUCUGGAGGAAUACCGGUGGCGAAGGCGGCCCCCUGGACAAAGACUGACGCUCAGGUGCGAAAGCGUGGGGAGCAAACAGGAUUAGAUACCCGAGUAGUCCCUGUCUCUUAUAC